UACGUAGGCAGCGAGCGUUGUUCGGAGUUACUGGGCGUAAAUGGUGUGUAGGCGGUUUUCUAAGUUUGGUGUUAAAUCUCCCGGCUCAACCGGGAGGGUGCGCCGAAAACUGGGAGACUAGAGUGCGGGAUGGGAGAGUAGAAUUCCUGGUGUAGCGGUGAAAUGCGUAGAUAUCAGGAGGAAUACCGGUGGUGUAGACGGCUCUCGGGACCGCCACUGACGCUGAGACACGAAAGCGUGGGUAGCAAACAGG
RNAcentral lists this ribosomal RNA (253 nucleotides) under uncultured bacterium. RNAcentral's name for it is "partial 16S ribosomal RNA". It matches the Rfam family "Bacterial small subunit ribosomal RNA", at positions 524 to 776 of the family's 1533-position model. The record is from RNAcentral.